This 703-nucleotide long non-coding RNA is filed under the name Rattus norvegicus (Norway rat). RNAcentral describes it as "long non-coding RNA NONRATT007810". Lineage: Eukaryota; Metazoa; Chordata; Mammalia; Rodentia; Muridae. The record is from RNAcentral.
AGACCCCACCCACUGCGGCGCUCAGCGGUCUACCUCUGCUCAUCUUCCCAUUGUGGGGCCGCCCAGGAUUCCCCUGGAGGACUUUGCCUCUGUUGGCGAAGAGAGAGGCCACCAUCCCACACACUGAAGGACAUUGAAGCUCGAUAAGCCAGAAGGAUAAGGCAGACCUCGCAGUGGGGGAGAAACCCCAGGGAUACCCACCCCCAGACUCAAGAGACAACCCCCAAAACUGAGAGGUGCAGAGCCCAACUUUUCCCCUGGAGAAUAAUGGACAGAGACUCCGUUUGGAUAUUGAAAUGUUUUUGUGUAUUAAUGUUGUGAUUUUUCAGACCUUUUAGCCAGGUCCUGUUUGUUCUUACUUUUCGUUACACUUUUGCUGUUGUUCCUCGCAUAAAACUUUGAUUUGAACCAAAAUGGUGAAGGUGCUGACGCACAAAGAUCUGAUGAUCAUGGGGGCGGAGCGGGGGAGAGGCGGAGCAUCUGCCCAUCACCCCGAGCUGUCUCAGAGGGGGGGGCUUGUGCAUAGAGUGUAAAAAGAGAUUGCUUCAUGAGUGGAUGGUUCAAAUAUGCAAAGGAUAAAGGCAAAAGCUUUCCUUGUACAGAUGUAAACAGGUAAAGCUUAAGUAACAUGAUACAUUGAUACUUCUUCAAAUGUGCUAUUCACAAGUCUAAAUAGUGUAAUGUAAAUGUGCCGUGUUAUUAA